CGCGGGGUGGAGCAGUUGGAAGCUCGUUGGGCUCAUAACCCAAAGGUCGGCGGUUCGAGUCCGUCCCCCGCUA
RNAcentral lists this transfer RNA (73 nucleotides) under Chlamydiae bacterium RIFCSPHIGHO2_12_FULL_49_11. RNAcentral describes it as "tRNA-Met". It matches the Rfam family "tRNA". Rfam says of the family: Transfer RNA (tRNA) molecules are approximately 80 nucleotides in length. Their secondary structure includes four short double-helical elements and three loops (D, anti-codon, and T loops). Lineage: Bacteria; Pseudomonadati; Chlamydiota. The record is from RNAcentral. RNAcentral also lists the same sequence under 3 other names.